Molecule: ribosomal RNA, 141 nt
Filed under: Triticum aestivum (bread wheat)
Lineage: Eukaryota; Viridiplantae; Streptophyta; Magnoliopsida; Poales; Poaceae
Description: partial small subunit ribosomal RNA
Source: RNAcentral
UUCCCCAAUGCAAGUAUUGCAUAUAGAGUUCUCCUGACUAUACAUGUGACUAUUGCAUCAACAAAACAGAGCUUUUCUAAAUUGAAGGUACUGAAGUCCUAUAUAUGUAUUGGAGAAGAUUUCUUGCGAUCAUAUUAUUGA